This 503-nucleotide ribosomal RNA is filed under the name uncultured bacterium. RNAcentral describes it as "partial 16S ribosomal RNA". It matches the Rfam family "Bacterial small subunit ribosomal RNA", at positions 30 to 523 of the family's 1533-position model. The record is from RNAcentral.
AUUGAACGCUGGCGGCAGGCUUAAUACAUGCAAGUCGAGCGGGGUGAUGGUGCUUGCACUAUCACUUAGCGGCGGACGGGUGAGUAAUGCUUAGGAAUCUGCCUAUUAGUGGGGGACAACAUCUCGAAAGGGAUGCUAAUACCGCAUACGUUCUACGGGAGAAAGCAGGGGAUCACUUGUGACCUUGCGCUAAUAGAUGAGCCUAAGUCGGAUUAGCUAGUUGGUGGGGUAAAGGCCUACCAAGGCGACGAUCUGUAGCGGGUCUGAGAGGAUGAUCCGCCACACUGGGACUGAGACACGGCCCAGACUCCUACGGGAGGCAGCAGUGGGGAAUAUUGGACAAUGGGGGGAACCCUGAUCCAGCCAUGCCGCGUGUGUGAAGAAGGCCCUAUGGUUGUAAAGCACUUUAAGCGAGGAGGAGGCUCUUUUGGUUAAUACCCAAGAUGAGUGGACGUUACUCGCAGAAUAAGCACCGGCUAACUCUGUGCCAGCCGCCGCAGUAA